This 468-nucleotide ribosomal RNA is filed under the name uncultured bacterium. Its description in RNAcentral is "partial 16S ribosomal RNA". It matches the Rfam family "Bacterial small subunit ribosomal RNA", at positions 28 to 507 of the family's 1533-position model. The record is from RNAcentral.
GACGAACGCUGGCGGCGUGCUUAACACAUGCAAGUCGAACGGAAAGGCCCUGCUUUUGUGGGGUGCUCGAGUGGCGAACGGGUGAGUAACACGUGAGUAACCUGCCCUUGACUUUGGGAUAACUUCAGGAAACUGGGGCUAAUACCGGAUAGGAGCUCCUGCUGCAUGGUGGGGGUUGGAAAGUUUCGGCGGUUGGGGAUGGACUCGCGGCUUAUCAGCUUGUUGGUGGGGUAGUGGCUGACCAAGGCUUUGACGGGUAGCCGGCCUGAGAGGGUGACCGGCCCCAUUGGGCCUGAGGUACGGCCCAGACUCCUACGGGAGGCAGAAGUGGGGAAUAUUGCACAAUGGGCGGAAGCCUGAUGCAGCAACGCCGCGUGCGGGAUGACGGCCUUCGGGUUGUAAACCGCUUUCGCCUGUGACGAAGCGUGAGUGACGGUAAUGUGUAAAGAAGCACCGGCUAACUACGUG